RNAcentral lists this ribosomal RNA (208 nucleotides) under uncultured eukaryote. RNAcentral describes it as "partial 18S ribosomal RNA". It matches the Rfam family "Eukaryotic small subunit ribosomal RNA", at positions 1299 to 1458 of the family's 1831-position model. The record is from RNAcentral.
UGGUGGAGUGAUUUGUCUGGUUAAUUCCGUUAACGAACGAGACCUCAGCCUGCUAAAUAGUUAUGCGAAUCUUUCUGCCAAGGUGGUGCUGGCCUGUGCUGUUGGGCUUGCCUGGCGGUGCAGUUCGCUGGCGCGCCUAGUCAGAUUCGUAGACAACUUCUUAGAGGGACUAAUGGUGUUUAGCCAUUGGAAGUUUGAGGCAAUAACA